CUGGACCAGAUUCUGUUGUCAUGCUGGUGCGGAAGAGCAAUUCAACUGGUGCCAGAGGAUUUCCACUGACAUAAAUUUAGUGUUUUCCCUCCCCCUCAUCCUUUCUACCAAAAGAACUGGAGAGCUGUGGUCAAUGGCAUCACUGAAGGACGCACAGGCUGAGAGACAGUUAACUGAACACAGCGAGUGGAAAACUCCAGCCUGGAUUACCAAGCGCUUGCAAAGCAAAGCUUCUUUACGUUGUUAAUGCUGAUUUGGAUCAUAAACAAAAGUGAGUGUGACAAGUCCUCCAAGAAGAACUUCUGGAUCAUGGUGAGCUGGUGUCAUCUGGGAGCUGUGACUCCUGCAGGCUCCAGGGGUGACCAGCCGUUCAGCUGCAAGAGAACAUGUCAGAAUCCAGCAGAGACACCCAGGAAUGUAAGAUUUAAAGGAAAAGAAAAACAAACCCAAACAAGACAAGUCUUCAUGUGGUCCUGGCUCGGCUUUUAUUCACAACAAUGGAGGUGCAAGUGAGCAGUGAGUGAGUACAAAGUCAUUUAUGUGUGUUUGUCUCCACGAGUUCACUGGCGAGUCUGCAUAUGCCUGUGUCUAUUCAUAUGUAUAUCUUUGGGUAAGUUUGCCAGUACAUGUUCAAAUACAACAUACACGGGGAAGAGACUACGGAAGACCUCCGGUCACAGUGAAGCUGAAGGUGUGAUUGCGCUCCUAUACCAGCGCUAACUAGAUAGUUCAAGUAACAGUUGCAGAAGAAGUACAGCAGCACAAACUUCAGUGAGAAAUUGCUACAGAAACAUAGGUCUAUAUUGGGGCACUUCCUGUGUGAUGUCUGCUCAGAGUACCAGCGUUAAUUUAAGAACAUUUAGCUAUGGCCGAUGGAAACUUACUGAAAUUGCAGGAUAGACGUAGCCCAGACCAGGGCCUAUCCGUACAUAAAGUCUCACAUUGCUGCAACAAUAAUUGUUCAGAAACAUUUGUAGUGAAAGUUGUACAGCUGUCUAGUGGCAUGCAGUUAUACCAGCAGAGAGGCGAUAUAUGCUAAUCCCGUCGUUACUAGGGCAUUGACUGCACUACAUCAAUUUCUAUAAGGGAGGAGAAUUAGAACAAUACAAAACCUGUGUGCAGAAAUGCCCAAUGACUUAAAGGCUUUAGAAUGUGUUAGCUCUAAUUACUGUGUUUGAAAUCUGUAAGCCAGCUCAGGUAGUGUAUACUUCAGCACCUUCUAAAUUGGUCAGGGCAGGUUCCACCUAGUCUUUAAUUUGACCUUUCCCGCAUGUAUUAAAAUCAGUUUACACCUUGAUUACACUAGACUCUCCUGACACAUUACUUCCAAAGGAUUAGCUAACAAAGUUCAUCUGCCUGGUCUGAACAAGCGUACUCUGUGUGUGCACACACACACACACACAUGUUUGUAUACACUUGUGAAUUAAGGAAGAGACCCAUAGUUUAUCCUUUUAUGGCAUUGUUUCAUGUUGAGAUGGCACACCUAUGUUAUCUUCUUUUCAAUGUUCACUAAGUUUUUAUUGUUGCAACCCAGUAAUAGAUUCUAGCGAUACCGAGAUAUUGGAAAGUCGGUUUCCCCGUGUAUCUUUUUGUUACUAUGAUUUUAGGAGGGAAGGCAGGCAGGAAGUUAAGGAAGUGGAUUAGCACAUAGUGAUGUGUAAGUGUUGGGACAUGGCCAAGCCUUAGAUUAAUACAUCAUGACCAUCACUUCAUCAUCUUUUGAUGCAAUGAGUUUUUCUUACCAAUGGAGCAGAUUAGAGUAGUACAAUCAAAGGCUUUAGAAAGAAGAGAGAAAGAAUCUGGUGAAGGUUUUCUUCUGCGUUACAGCUUUGAUAUCUCAAAUCUUUCACAGCAGUUGCAAGUUAGCAAUAAAUAACAUCUGAGGAGAGAGGAAGAGACAGGGGGAAAAGAUGCAUUUUAAUUGCGAUAUGGGCAAAAAUAUGUAGUUAGUGGAGACAGAAGCACAGAGAAGCUGGACAGUACCUGGAAUUGCAGAGAAGGUGGCUCUUGCCUUAAGAGUAAAGGGUCAGAGAAAGUGGUUAAUACGACCGCAGUUUUGAUGCUUAACUCCUUAUUCCAUUGGUGAUUUCUGUAAGUGCUUUUUUACAUCACACAGGCACCACUUGAAUGUAGCUGAACUUCUUGUUUUCCAAAAGCUUUGCAGAGAAGGGCAAUCUCUCUUGCUACAUUAAGGGGACAGGAACACUGAAGUGUGCAGUCAUUAAGAGUUUGCCAUUGGUUUUAAUAGAAAUGGGAUUAUACCCUUUGAAUUUAAACUCCUUGUUGUAGAGAUCUCAGGGCUGAUUCUGAUCUAAGCUACCACAAUGCACCUGAUCUUCAGCCAGUAAGGAAGAGAGAUGGAUCUGUCCUUUUAUCAUCUGAUGGGGUUGUCCAGUGCCAUAUCAUCUGAUAGCAAGUAUAAUGGUCUCUUGGUGCACAGCAGUCACUGGGUAAUUCUUGCUGUGCACUAUGUGUUAGCAGCAUGCAAAGGUCUGUGAGCUACAAGGCCAGGUGACUGUUCACAGCGCAGAAUAUUCCAUUAUACCAAGUCAGAGAGAGAAGAUCAGAUGUGUCCCCUGCAUGGGAAGUUAUUUGUUAUUUAGAACAAGGGAGCAGCUAGUUUAGUGAUAGAGUCUGUGGCUUCCAGAUAACAAUUCCUUUGACUCUCCCCAACACAAUUUUAUUCUUCUUGUUUUGUGAGCAUUAAACUACUUGGACUGUUCUCAUAGCUAUGCAGGGCACUUGCAGGGCAAGUGAAUUUGGAAGAGGUAUUUUGUGUAAAUAGUUUGAGGAGAAACUACCUUCUACUGUCCGAGACUGUUCUCCUGGAAGCAGACAAAAUGCCUGCAUUAGGUAGAGAUGUAUGCAAGUUACAGCUCUGUUUGUUGUGUAUCCUCAUUCUACCAUAACCCUACUUUCAAGAAAGAAAGAAAGAAAGAAAGAAAGAAAGAAAGAAAGAAAGAAAGAAAGAAAAUGCUUACUAAGCUCUGUGGUGCUCCUUUUCCCCUCCAAUAAAUUGGUGUAAAAGGCUGGCGUCUGUAUGAAUUAGAUGUAAAAAGGGUAAAGCCCAGCAGUUCCUGAGGAAGCAAUUUUUAGAGGCAAAGCCCUUUGCAAUGUCUUCCUUCCUAACCCUCCUCCCCUGAAUAUCCACUCAUGCCCUGCCUGCUGCUGCUCUUGCUGCUGGGCUGUCAAAAUAUCUCUCGUAAUGAAGCAGUCUGGCCUGAGGCUAGUAUUACCUCCAAUGCCAAUCCUGCUGAGCAUGACUCUGGCAGCGUGGCUGGGCUGCUCACAUGCUGCAGCGAGCAUAGAGCAUGUCAUGGCUGGGCUACACCUGGAAAGGAGCAAGAGACAAAAAGCAAUGAAUCUUGGCUGUUAGACAACCUUGAUGUCCUCUGAGGCUCCAGAAGGGUAGUAGAGAAGACAUGAGUUUGGCUGGGUCAGGCAGUGGUGCUGUGGCUGUUUGACUGGUCUUGUUCCUGUUUUUUGGUAGGCUCAGAGCAAUUUGGUAGCAUGUUCCAGGGACAGGGCUGUUGCUUCCCAUCCCUGGUGUGAUAAUGUCAAGGUAAUUUUGUGGGAAAUACGGGGUGCAUGGUGAGAGAAGCUGUUGACUUGCAGUCAUUGAAGGGCUGAGCACCCCAGCUUCUUUGGGGGAAGAAACAUGAUCCAGUGGAUACUGACCCAACUGUUUAAAGACCUGUUUGAUUAUCUGAGCUGUCCUGGUGUCAGGCCUAUAGGACAGAACUUGGCUAGUGUAGUUACAUUUGGGCUGUGAGGAACUCAUGCCACACGACUGCUAAGGCAAGGCCAGCGAGACUUGCACUGUAGAUGCAGCUACACUGACAGAACGUUAUAUCUUUUGGUUUAGCUUAGCUUAGGCACAGGUGAAAUGGUGCCAGAGAUGCAUAUAUGGCAUCCAUGGUGGAAACAUGCAAGAACAGAAGCUUUGGAGUAGUUUGUGAGCUCAGACUGCUCUUUUUACUUGUACCUGUGUGCCUGUUUCCUCCCAGCCUCAACCUGUCUUUCCUGUAGAGGGGCAGGGUUUGCAUCUGCAAUGAGUUUUUAAAACAGAUAGCACAAAGGACCUUUGAUCUCGGUUAGAAACUCAAAGGUUUACUGUCACAGACAUAAAUAACAAAUUACAUUUCAAAAGUUCCCCCUCCUUUUACAGGUAGAAUAAUGGAGGCCUAUCCAGGAUAAGUAAUUUGCCCAUGAAGCUGGUGGCAGAAUGAGGAGUAAAGUCCUUAUCUCUUAACUUUCAGAUCUGUGCUUUAAGCACAUUACCAUCUUUCCUUGUAACAUGCUUUACAGCACAGCCAGCUCUUCGCAGUCAUUGAUACGUUUGAUGUGAGAGAAAGAAAAGGUCCAGGUUUUGUUUAAACCCUACAUGAUGUAUUCCAGAAGUGAGGAACUAGAUGUUAGAAAAUUAUCACUAUUUAUUACAUUUAUUGUGGCAGUGCCUUUGCGAGCAAGUUAAGAUUGUUCUUUCUUUUUGCUAGGUGCUGUAGAAACACACAAGCAAAAGACAUGGUGACUCGUGCCCCCAAACUUUAAAGCAUUUUCCAGUCCCUUAGUUCAGCGUUUGCAAAGCACGUCUAGUUCUCUGUCUCACCGUAUGCAUGUAGAUUUGCUAAGAUCUCUCUGAUCACUUCUCCAGUGGUGAAUCUGUUUACACUAAUACCAACAGCUCUAAUGUUAGAGGAAAGAGCUGAACAACUGCAGACUCCCUGCUGUUGAACUCAGCCAUCCAGACGGUGCUCUUGCAUUUUAUUAUAGUGAGGAGGGAUAGGGAGGACUUGAUCGUAAAUUUUAGUGCUUGUAAGAGACUCAUAGGAUCAGCUAAAGUCUAUUCCUCCUGAAUCCCUCCACACAUCUGCCAGGACACCUUGUGAAUGUGUGGGAAACCCUGCCCUGGCCCAACCCAUGCGCCUCAUGUUGGGCCACCAUCAUGAGGUCUUACUCUUCCAGUGCUAGACCCCUACGCAGUUUGGCCAAUGCACCCAUAUCAUGACUGACAUCAGUGCCUGUUUUUUCCAGGAAAGAAGCAGAGCCAAGUAGCUGCUGCCCUUCUAGCAUGAAGAGUAGCAUAUAUAGUUAUGACUAGGCCCAGCUUUGAACCAAGUUUCUGUACAGAGGAGAAGCAACUGAGCUGAGAUGUAGUGGGAAAACCCAGUGGCAAGUCACCUUUUCCUUUAAGGAGAAAAGGUAAAGAGAAGUUCUCUAGGUUAGGAAGAGUUUCAUCAUAGCUAUUUUCUAGGGGCAGACUGUAUGGUCAUGCAAAAUGCUCUUAGGGGAUUCGAAUGUGCAUCCAAGUCACAGGGAUCUGAGAAGUCUAGAAGUACCACAGAAGGACUUGUUCCUUGAGGUUGAGGGACAUUUUUGUUCUGCUCUCCUGUGACCCCUCUUGGAGGAACUGUGGAGACCUGUCUUUGGAGGGGGCUGUGGCCAAGCUCUUUCUACACUUGGAGGUAAAGUUGCCAUUAGGAAUGAAGGUAGAGAAAGAGUAGUAACCCUUAUGGCUGUAAAAGAAAGCAAGCUCUGAGAAAAAAAUAUCCACUCCCCUUCAAAAAAGGAAAAGAAAAAUCGGUCCCAGGGAGCCGACAUACAAAGAUUAAGCCAAAUAGUAGUUCCGGGGCCUUGCAGAGCGCUCACCGCAGUUCUAGGUAUACCAGCCAUGAAGGUCUUCUAGAGGGGCAAGAGCAAACAGUUCUGCUCACUGUAUUGCCUUCUCACCUGAGCUCCAUCCAGACUCCUCUUAUGUUCUUUCACAGAGAGGGCCUGUGUCUCCUGGUCUCUUCUGAGCGCUGUCCCUAGUUCAUUAGGUGAUAAUAGGAAGUGAUUUCUUUCCUAUCAUCUCCAGCAAUCAGAGUCAUUAAGAAUAAGAACAUGGAGAACCGAAAUGAGAGGGUUUGAUGGGUGUAUAUAUUCACCUCCUUCAUUAGAGCAAGACGCAAGGAUUGCUCCCAGAGCUUGUAUUUCUUGAGAAUAAAUAGGCAAGAAACAAAGAUCAUGGUCACG
This is a non-coding RNA of Struthio camelus australis, 6015 nucleotides long. The record is from RefSeq and is a predicted model, not a curated record. NCBI's taxonomy places the organism in Eukaryota, Metazoa, Chordata, Aves, Struthioniformes, Struthionidae.